AAGUCGAACGAGACCUUCGGGUCUAGUGGCGCACGGGUGCGUAACGCGUGGGAAUCUGCCCUUGGGUUCGGAAUAACAGUUGGAAACGACUGCUAAUACCGGAUGAUGACGUAAGUCCAAAGAUUUAUCGCCCAGGGAUGAGCCCGCGUAGGAUUAGCUAGUUGGUGGGGUAAAGGCCUACCAAGGCGACGAUCCUUAGCUGGUCUGAGAGGAUGAUCAGCCACACUGGGACUGAGACACGGCCCAGACUCCUACGGGAGGCAGCAGUGGGGAAUAUUGGACAAUGGGCGAAAGCCUGAUCCAGCAAUGCCGCGUGAGUGAUGAAGGCCUUAGGGUUGUAAAGCUCUUUUACCCGGGAUGAUAAUGACAGUACCGGGAGAAUAAGCCCCGGCUAACUCCGUGCC
Molecule: ribosomal RNA, 404 nt
Filed under: Sphingomonas sp. afc
Lineage: Bacteria; Pseudomonadati; Pseudomonadota; Alphaproteobacteria; Sphingomonadales; Sphingomonadaceae
Description: bacterial SSU rRNA
Rfam family: Bacterial small subunit ribosomal RNA
Source: RNAcentral